This 497-nucleotide ribosomal RNA is filed under the name uncultured bacterium. RNAcentral describes it as "partial 16S ribosomal RNA". It matches the Rfam family "Bacterial small subunit ribosomal RNA", at positions 28 to 523 of the family's 1533-position model. The record is from RNAcentral.
GAUGAACGCUGGCGGCGUGCCUAACACAUGCAAGUCGAACGAAGCACUUUUAUCGAUUUCUUCGGAAUGAAGUUUUAGUGACUGAGUGGCGGACGGGUGAGUAACGCGUGGGUAACCUGCCUCACACAGGGGGAUAACAGUUGGAAACGGCUGCUAAUACCGCAUAAGCGCACAUUACCGCAUGGUACGGUGUGAAAAACUCCGGUGGUGUGGGAUGGACCCGCGUCUGAUUAGCUAGUUGGGAGGGCAACGGCCUACCAAGGCGACGAUCAGUAGCCGACCUGUGAGGGUGAGCGGAGACAUUGGGCCUGAGACACGGCCCAAACUCCUCCGGGAGGCAGCAGUGGGGGAUAUUGCACAAUGGGGGAAAACCUGAUGCAGCGACGCCGCGUGGGCGAAGAAGUAUUUCGGUAUGUAAAGCUCUAUCAGCAGGGGAGAAGAAAUGACGGUACCUGACUAAGAAGCACCGGCUAAAUACGUGCCAGCCGCCGCCGUAA